Molecule: long non-coding RNA, 448 nt
Filed under: Nicotiana tabacum (common tobacco)
Lineage: Eukaryota; Viridiplantae; Streptophyta; Magnoliopsida; Solanales; Solanaceae
Description: long non-coding RNA (NTAB_LNC005768)
Source: RNAcentral
CUGCUUGGGAAAGAUCACUUUGAGCAGAAUUGCUAGUGGAAAUAGGGAGGCAUGUAUAUGCUGAUGACUGCACAACAAAUUCAGCAAGGAUCUCGUAUGCCAGAGUGUUGAUUGAAAUGGACAUAACGGACGAGCUGCCUAUAAACAUCACAGUACAGGACGAUCCUGCUGGGAGAGUCUUUGAUCAAGAGAUUGAUUAUGAUUGGGUGCCAUAAUCAACAUCCGCCACUGCCUACUUGAUGAGUCCUACCUCUGUAUUUGUUGUUGUUAUAGGUUCCCAAUUGAACCCAUUGCUAACACACUACAUCCGCCGCUGAUUACUUGAUGUAGGACUCAUAGAAAUGAAAUCUGCAGGCAAGCAAUAAACAGUCAUGUAUUUGUAAGAUAGAUAAAGCUGUAAUGAUCAAAAUUAAGAAACCUCGUUCAACCACCAGCGUUCAAGAAUUUG